AGCUGUACAUUUAAUAUUUAAACCUAAAAUUUGUGUGCUUAAACAAGUGGAGCUUUUGUGCGCAAACAAGUCGUAAAAAAGGUUAAUGUGCGCUGACGAGUCGUACCCGAAUUUUCAAUCAAUCUUUUCCCGAUACCCUCUUGAGAGAAAAGGGCUCUGUCAUUUUUACGGACGAAUGUAACGUUUUAGACCGAAAAGCCAGACAAAACUGUAGUAGUUGUAUUUGACAGAUAUACAUUUUAUAAACGUAUUACGGAUUCUUUAGGUUCUUUACUAAGAUGCGUUGGAAUUAUUUAUUUAACUUUAAUCCUAUUUACCACAAGUAAAAGACGAAAUACUUUAAGUACAUUUUUGAAAAUGUUUCUACUUAGCGGGCCUGCAAUUUAAUUCUCGAAAUCUUUUACUAACCAUCAAGGCACGUCUUUUCAUCAUCUCGUCUUAAGUGUCUUCUUUUACUCAUCGUUUGAUGAAUUACAACACCGUUUACACGUAUCGAUAAUCGA
This is a non-coding RNA of Cinara cedri, 503 nucleotides long. NCBI's taxonomy places the organism in Eukaryota, Metazoa, Arthropoda, Insecta, Hemiptera, Aphididae. The record is from the annotation of a GenBank genome assembly.